Myotis davidii is the source of this 611-nucleotide long non-coding RNA. RefSeq lists it as uncharacterized. The record is from RefSeq and is a predicted model, not a curated record. The transcript has 2 exons. Lineage: Eukaryota; Metazoa; Chordata; Mammalia; Chiroptera; Vespertilionidae.
CAGCCACGGACACCCCAUCGCCAGUCCGUGGGCAGAGUGGCCGGAACUUGGGGUGGGGAGUUGGGGGGGAGGGGGGAGUCCUCUGACACCAGCAACACUGCUGUCCGGUUUCUGACGACUGAGAGUUUGUCUUUCGGGUUUGUUUGUUUGUUUUUAAACCAAAACAGCUGUAACUUCGGGGAACAACAGACACAGUUUGGGGUGACAGCAGGGGUCCCGCCCUCAUCCUCAAGGCAUGAUAGUUAGACAACCCUCGUCCCUUUCCUUUGAAAAAUACGCACCAUGACUUCCUCGCAUGUGCAUCCCGUGUGGAGUGUGUCCAGAGCUGCAAACAGGUAGGUCACACGUACGUGUGUGUGUUUGGCAACCCACGGGGGCGCGUACACCCGCGUGUAGAAACACAGACACAUACAUCCUCAUAGACACGUGUGUCUUAUAUAUAUGCUGAGAAAGGUCACAUAUAUAUACAACUGCGUAUGUUAUCUGUGUGUGUGUCUGUCUGCGUGUGUGUGCGUGUGUGUGCGUGUGUGUGUGCGUGUGAGCAGGUAGAAAAACUCGACAGGCAGAGUAAUGUUCCACUCAGUGUUGUUAGGUGACGUCUUUGAGGAAAA